AGCGAACGUUAGCGGCGGGCCUAACACAUGCAAGUCGAACGAGAAUGUGGACUUCGGUCCACUAGUAAAGUGGCGGACGGGUGCGUAACACGUGGGUAAUCUACCUUCCGGCGGGGGACAACAGUCCGAAAGGAUUGCUAAUACCGCAUACGUCAGCGAGGUCUACGGAUCUUGUUGGGAAAGAUGGCCUCUCCUUGGAAGCUGUCUCCGGAAGAUGAGCCCGCGGCCCAUCAGCUAGNGGUGAGGUAAUGGCUCACCAAGGCUUAGACGGGUAGCUGGUCUGAGAGGAUGAUCAGCCACACUGGGACUGCGACACGGCCCAGACUCCUACGGGAGGCAGCAGUGGGGAAUAUUGAGCAAGUGGGCGAAAGCCUGACCCAGCCACGCCGCGUGAGUGAUGAAGGCCUUC
This 409-nucleotide ribosomal RNA is filed under the name uncultured bacterium. RNAcentral describes it as "bacterial SSU rRNA". It matches the Rfam family "Bacterial small subunit ribosomal RNA", at positions 29 to 419 of the family's 1533-position model. The record is from RNAcentral.